RNAcentral lists this ribosomal RNA (115 nucleotides) under Escherichia coli PCN061. The record is from RNAcentral. Lineage: Bacteria; Pseudomonadati; Pseudomonadota; Gammaproteobacteria; Enterobacterales; Enterobacteriaceae.
UGGCGGCCGUAGCGCGGUGGUCCCACCUGACCCCAUGCCGAACUCAGAAGUGAAACGCCGUAGCGCCAAUGGUAGUGUGGGGUCUCCCCAUGCGAGAGUAGGGAACUGCCAGGCA